Molecule: ribosomal RNA, 678 nt
Filed under: uncultured fungus
Lineage: Eukaryota; Fungi
Description: eukaryotic LSU rRNA
Rfam family: 5.8S ribosomal RNA (bases 264-418)
Source: RNAcentral
CUUGGUCAUUUAGAGGNAGUAAAAGUCGUAACAAGGUUUCCGUAGGUGAACCUGCGGAAGGAUCAUUAUCGAAAUUAUUGGUGAGGGUUGUAGCUGGCCUUUCGAGGCAUGUGCACGCUCGAGCCCUUAAUCCACUUUACACCUGUGCACUUAAUGUAGGUCGCCCUUAAAAAAGGUGACCUAUGUCUUAUCAUCAACCCAUCGUAUGUCUCAUAGAAUGUAAUCGAUAUCCUCGCCCUAAAAAAGCGUUGAUAAACUUAUACAACUUUCAACAACGGAUCUCUUGGCUCUCGCAUCGAUGAAGAACGCAGCGAAAUGCGAUAAGUAAUGUGAAUUGCAGAUUUUCAGUGAAUCAUCGAAUCUUUGAACGCACCUUGCGCUCCUUGGUAUUCCGAGGAGCAUGCCUGUUUGAGUGUCAUUAAAUUCUCAACUCCAAGGGUUUCACGACCUUUCGGAGAUUGGACUUGGAGGUGCUGGCCGCAUAUUGGUCGGCUCCUCUCAAAUGCAUCAGCGGAAUUCAACCUUUGGCUUCCGGAUGUCAGUGUGAUAAUCAUGUUGCGCUGUCGUUUGAUCCCUCAGAGUCCGCUUAUAAUGGUCUUCGGACAAAAUCAUCAUCAAAUUUGACCUCAAAUCAGGUAGGACUACCCGCUGAACUUAAGCAUAUCAAUAAGCGGANGA